This 506-nucleotide ribosomal RNA is filed under the name uncultured bacterium. Its description in RNAcentral is "partial 16S ribosomal RNA". It matches the Rfam family "Bacterial small subunit ribosomal RNA", at positions 28 to 523 of the family's 1533-position model. The record is from RNAcentral.
GAUGAACGCUAGCUACAGGCUUAACACAUGCAAGUCGAGGGGUAACGAGAGGAAAGCUUGCUUUCCUUGUCGACGACCGGCGCACGGGUGAGUAACGCGUAUCCAACCUGCCCCCAACUAGGGAAUAACCUUGCGAAAGUAAGACUAAUACCCUAUAAUUUCCUCAGAUGCCAUCUGACGAGGAAUAAAGAUUUAUCGGUUGUGGAUGGGGAUGCGUCUGAAUAGCUUGUUGGCGGGGUAACGGCCCACCAAGGCAACGAUCAGUAGGGGUUCUGAGAGGAAGGUCCCCCACAUUGGAACUGAGACACGGUCCAAACUCCUACGGGAGGCAGCAGUGAGGAAUAUUGGUCAAUGGGCGGAAGCCUGAACCAGCCAAGUAGCGUGCAGGAUGACGGCCCUAUGGGUUGUAAACUGCUUUUAUACAGGAAUAAAGUUAGCCACGUGUGGUUAUUUGUAGGUACUGUAUGAAUAAGGACCGGCUAAUUCCGUGCCAGCCGCCGCCGUAA